CCUACUGGGGGCAGCAGUGGGGAAUAUUGCACAAUGGGGGAAACCCUGAUGCAGCGACGCCGCGUGAGUGAAGAAGUAUCUCGGUAUGUAACGCUCUAUCAGCAGGGAAGAAAAUGCCGGUACCUGACUAAGAAGCCCCGGCUAACUACGUGCCAGCAGCCGCGGUAAUACGUAGGGGUCAAGCGUUAUCCGGAUUUACUGGGUGUAAAGGGAGCGUAGACGGUUAUGCAAGUCUGAAGUGAAAGCCCAAGGCUCAACCAUGGGAGUGCUUUGGAAACUGGAAAACUGGAGUGCAGGAGAGGUAGGCGGAAUUCGUAGUGUAGCGGUGAAAUGCGUAGAUAUUAGGAGGAACACCAGUGGCGAAGGCAGCUUACUGGACUGUAACUGACGUUGAGGCUCGAAGGCGUGGGGAGCAAACAGGAUUAGAUACCCGGGUAGUC
This 440-nucleotide ribosomal RNA is filed under the name uncultured bacterium. RNAcentral's name for it is "partial 16S ribosomal RNA". It matches the Rfam family "Bacterial small subunit ribosomal RNA", at positions 338 to 795 of the family's 1533-position model. The record is from RNAcentral.